GCCCCGAUAGCUCAGUGGAUAGAGCGUCUGCCUCCGGAGCAGAAGGUCGCAGGUUCGAAUCCUGUUCGGGGUACCA
RNAcentral lists this transfer RNA (76 nucleotides) under Boudabousia marimammalium. Its description in RNAcentral is "Actinomyces marimammalium tRNA-Arg". It matches the Rfam family "tRNA". Rfam says of the family: Transfer RNA (tRNA) molecules are approximately 80 nucleotides in length. The record is from RNAcentral. Lineage: Bacteria; Bacillati; Actinomycetota; Actinomycetes; Actinomycetales; Actinomycetaceae.